RNAcentral lists this unclassified non-coding RNA (420 nucleotides) under Hevea brasiliensis (rubber tree). Lineage: Eukaryota; Viridiplantae; Streptophyta; Magnoliopsida; Malpighiales; Euphorbiaceae. The record is from RNAcentral.
CACCCAAGCAUGAUAUUUGUCUGACAUGAAGCUAAGGAUUGCAACAUAUGCUGAGAAUUUCAAUAAUUAUAGAUGACGAGAAAAAAGAAAAUCUACAAUUUUUUCCUUCUUUUGUUCUCUUUUGAAUGAAAAUAAAGAGGCAAAAUCUCAAGAGUGUGGACGCUCAGACACAAUACACAAGCAGGUGGUAAUUCAUUGAUGCUCGACUCAUCAAGCAUUAUGGUUUUCACCAUGGCUAAGUUGAUGAUAGAACAAAAGAUAACUCACCAGUCACCACCUAAAUAAGCAUACAUUGGAUCUUAUAAACAGCCUCAACUAUAAAGUCCAUACUCCAAACAACACCCAUCAAAGGUAAAUCCAGAAAAGGAUACUGAAUAAAGAAGUACAAUCUUUGCCCACAGCCUUCAUCAGCAUAUCAAC